RNAcentral lists this ribosomal RNA (510 nucleotides) under uncultured Clostridium sp. RNAcentral describes it as "bacterial SSU rRNA". It matches the Rfam family "Bacterial small subunit ribosomal RNA", at positions 917 to 1422 of the family's 1533-position model. The record is from RNAcentral. Lineage: Bacteria; Bacillati; Bacillota; Clostridia; Eubacteriales; Clostridiaceae.
GGGCCCGCACAAGCAGCGGAGCAUGUGGUUUAAUUCGAAGCAACGCGAAGAACCUUACCUAGACUUGACAUCUCCUGAAUUACCCUUAACCGGGGAAGUCGGUACCUUUGGUAUCGACAGGAAGACAGGUGGUGCAUGGUUGUCGUCAGCUCGUGUCGUGAGAUGUUGGGUUAAGUCCCGCAACGAGCGCAACCCUUAUUGUUAGUUGCUACCAUUUAGUUGAGCACUCUAGCGAGACUGCCCGGGUUAACCGGGAGGAAGGUGGGGAUGACGUCAAAUCAUCAUGCCCCUUAUGUCUAGGGCUACACACGUGCUACAAUGGCAAGUACAAAGAGACGCAAGACCGUGAGGUGGAGCAAAUCUCAAAAACUUGUCCCAGUUCGGAUUGUAGGCUGAAACUCGCCUACAUGAAGCCGGAGUUGCUAGUAAUCGCGAAUCAGCAUGUCGCGGUGAAUACGUUCCCGGGCCUUGUACACACCGCCCGUCACACCAUGAGAGUUGGCAAUACCC